RNAcentral lists this long non-coding RNA (208 nucleotides) under Elaeis guineensis (African oil palm). RNAcentral describes it as "long non-coding RNA (EGUI_LNC005400)". Lineage: Eukaryota; Viridiplantae; Streptophyta; Magnoliopsida; Arecales; Arecaceae. The record is from RNAcentral.
GUGGCAGGAAGAAGGCCAAGUCUCGGGUAGGUGGGAAUUCCACUUCCACUUACCCGUUGAGGCAGCUCAGUCGCAGCCUCAGCCUGGGGAAUUGUACGGACAGAAGGCUACUUAGUCAUGCAUGUCAAUCCGCUCAUAACGAUACGGAAAUACGCUUUUCCUGCACGGCAACUGCAAAGUAGAAUAAAUAUUUCUAAAAGACCCAAGG